RNAcentral lists this long non-coding RNA (948 nucleotides) under Octopus vulgaris (common octopus). Lineage: Eukaryota; Metazoa; Mollusca; Cephalopoda; Octopoda; Octopodidae. The record is from RNAcentral.
AUAAAACGAGAAAGAGAACGUGUGAGUGGGUGUGCGCGCGAGAGAAAUAGAUAGAUGGAUAUAGAGAGAAAAAGACAGAGAGUGAGAGAAAGAGAGAGAUAUACUAAAAGAAACUGGGAGUGAUAGGAAGAGAGUGAGGCAGUAUAGUUUGUCGCUAUCGUUGUUAGUGUUGCUGAUAAUAUUCAUUCAUUAUUUGUAUGUAGUCAGUGUUAUUGUUUAGAAGUGCCGCUACUAGUACUAGAAUUGUUGACUUGUGCAAUCCCCUUUAUAUAUAUAUAUAAUAUAUAAUAUAUAUAUCGACACGUUGUUUUUAAAAAAAAAAAUUGGUUUCUGUAUAUGUUUAUUUUAUAUUUAAUCAUAUCUAAAUUCCUGCUUUAAGUUGUUAUUUAACAAUUUUUUUCGUUCUUAAUUGUUUUAUUUUUUUUUCUCAUAUCCUUUUUUAAAAAUAACGAUAGUUGCGCCUUUCUCGUUCGUGUCGUCUGCUUAUUGAGUGACAAACGCUGGAAAAUACCCGAAAAAAAGUUACGUGGAGAAAACGAGAGAGGGAGAGAAAAAAAAUAGAGAAAUAGGGGAAAUCACUGCAAAUAAUAAUAAUAUUAAUAAUAAUAAAAACAAGAUAACACAGAACAAAAAAUAAUUUUGUGGCGCUUUUUAAAAAAAGAAAAUAGAUUUGUUCGCUUUUAGUUUGGUUUCAUAUUUGUUAUAUUCAUAUUUAUAUUUUGUAAUUUUAUUUCGUUGGCAACCUAAAGAUAUUCCGUGCCUCUGCUUAAUUAUAUUGCACAAGUAAAUAUACACAAAACAUCAACGACAACAACAAUAAUAAACAUAAAAAAACAAGCAAACAAACAAACAGAUACACUCUUCUUUCGUCUAUAAGGAAGUCAACUACAACAACAACAAUAAUAAUAAUUUGACUAUUUUGAACGGUAUCACUACAAGAUAAAGAGG